CGGAACGUGCCCGAUCGUGGGGGAUAACGCAGCGAAAGCUGUGCUAAUACCGCAUACGAUCUACGGAUGAAAGCGGGGGAUCGCAAGACCUCGCGCGGACGGAGCGGCCGAUGGCAGAUUAGGUAGUUGGUGGGGUAAAGGCUCACCAAGCCUUCGAUCUGUAGCUGGUCUGAGAGGACGACCAGCCACACUGGGACUGAGACACGGCCCAGACUCCUACGGGAGGCAGCAGUGGGGAAUAUUGGACAAUGGGCGAAAGCCUGAUCCAGCAAUGCCGCGUGAGUGAUGAAGGCCUUAGGGUUGUAAAGCUCUUUUACCCGGGAUGAUAAUGACAGUACCGGGAGAAUAAGCCCCGGCUAACUCCGUGCCAGCAGCCGCGGUAAUACGGAGGGGGCUAGCGUUGUUCGGAAUUACUGGGCGUAAAGCGCACGUAGGCGGCUUUGUAAGUUAGAGGUGAAAGCCCGGAGCUCAACUCCGGAACUGCCUUUAAGACUGCAUCGCUAGAAUCAUGGAGAGGUCAGUGGAAUUCCGAGU
RNAcentral lists this ribosomal RNA (534 nucleotides) under uncultured bacterium. Its description in RNAcentral is "bacterial SSU rRNA". It matches the Rfam family "Bacterial small subunit ribosomal RNA", at positions 119 to 674 of the family's 1533-position model. The record is from RNAcentral.